UAAAAUGAAAAGACAAUGCAGGGCCAAAAA
This 30-nucleotide non-coding RNA is filed under the name Mus musculus (house mouse). Lineage: Eukaryota; Metazoa; Chordata; Mammalia; Rodentia; Muridae. The record is from RNAcentral.